RNAcentral lists this ribosomal RNA (317 nucleotides) under uncultured Glomus. RNAcentral describes it as "partial 18S ribosomal RNA". The record is from RNAcentral. Lineage: Eukaryota; Fungi; Glomeromycota; Glomeromycetes; Glomerales; Glomeraceae.
CGUAAGGCGCCGAAUGAGUCAUUAAAAAAAUUAACAUCAUCCGAUCCCUAGUCGGCAUAGUUUAUGGUUAAGACCACGACGGUAUCUGAUCGUCUUCGAUCCCCUAACUUUCGUUCUUGAUUAAUGAAACAUCCUUGGCAAAUGCUUUCGCAGUAGUUAGUCUUCAAUAAAUCCAAGAAUUUCACCUCUGACAAUUGAAUACUAAUGCCCCCAACUAUCCCUAUUAAUCAUUACGUCGAUCCUAGAAACCAACAAAAUAGAAUCAAACGUCCUAUUUCAUUAUUCCAUGCUAAUGUAUUCAAGCGCGAGCCUGCUUU